RNAcentral lists this ribosomal RNA (483 nucleotides) under uncultured bacterium. RNAcentral describes it as "bacterial SSU rRNA". It matches the Rfam family "Bacterial small subunit ribosomal RNA", at positions 28 to 521 of the family's 1533-position model. The record is from RNAcentral.
GAUGAACGCUGGCGGCGUGCUUAACACAUGCAAGUCGAACGAAGAUGCCGGAGUGCUUGCACUUUGGCAGACUGAGUGGCGGACGGGUGAGUAACGCGUGGGUAACCUGCCUUAUACAGGGGGAUAACAGUUGGAAACGACUGCUAAUACCGCAUAAGCGCACGGUAUCGCAUGAUACAGUGUGAAAAACUCCGGUGGUAUAAGAUGGACCCGCGUCUGAUUAGCUUGUUGGUGAGGUAACGGCCCACCAAGGCGACGAUCAGUAGCCGGCCUGAGAGGGUGAACGGCCACAUUGGGACUGAGACACGGCCCAAACUCCUACGGGAGGCAGCAGUGGGGAAUAUUGCACAAUGGGGGAAACCCUGAUGCAGCGACGCCGCGUGAGUGAUGAAGUAUUUCGGUAUGUAAAACUCUAUCAGCAGGGAAGAUAAUGACGGUACCUGACUAAGAAGCACCGGCUAAAUACGUGCCAGCAGCCGCGGU